RNAcentral lists this transfer RNA (79 nucleotides) under Chloroflexota bacterium. RNAcentral's name for it is "Chloroflexi bacterium (groundwater metagenome) tRNA-Arg". It matches the Rfam family "tRNA". From Rfam's summary of the family: Transfer RNA (tRNA) molecules are approximately 80 nucleotides in length. Their secondary structure includes four short double-helical elements and three loops (D, anti-codon, and T loops). Lineage: Bacteria; Bacillati; Chloroflexota. The record is from RNAcentral.
GCGCUUGUAGCUCAGCAUGGAUUAGAGCGUAGCCCUGCGAAGGCUGAGGUCGUGGGUUCAAGUCCCACCAAGCGCGCCA